GAAGAGACAUCAUCAAAGCGAAGAGCAGAGUGCGGAUUCCCUUAGCGCCUUUAAUGAGGCGCAGGAUUCGACCGAUUCUGGCAAGCCGGACGACUCUGAACAAACUGUGUCUAUAUAUUGACAUGAAGAUUCAGAAGUCAAAAGAGACCAUCUCUAACAAACUCCUCAUAAAUCAAAUAUUCAAGUAAAAUUAACUUCUUGAAGAGUAAGACUUUUGGAAGAAAAACAAGAAGUUGAUUUGAUAAUUAUGGUAGAAAUGUGCUGUGACUGUUGGAAGAUUUCAAUCAGUGGGAAAUAAAGAAUAAAAGAAAAGACCCAUAAAGAAAGUGGAAAUGGGUUGGGGAUUUCUUCUGCUGUCUCACUGAUGUAACGGCUGAACAAGCCAUCCUUGUCUCAGUGUGCUGUCCCUAGGGAGAAUGUAGGCCUCAAGGCAAGAUAACCCUUACAGACCAGUUAGGAACUCAACAGUAGAACAUUGCCUCCCUCACAGAACCAAUGUAAUGAAAGUAGGAUGAACACAGGAACCACAGAAAAGCACAGUUUAACUACACAGAGACAGUAUACUGCAACACAAGGUCUUUUCUCAGUCAUAUCCCAAUAUGCCCAAAUGUCAGUCAUAAGAAAAAAAAACAAGAAGAAAAAUACUGCUGGGUAGCCAUGAACUGUGUGAUCUGCACAUUUCUAUGAACACAGAUGCACCUACACAUUCAAAAGAAAGAUAACUAAUACUUGCUAAUUUGCUACAUGAAACUCAAGAAUACUAUAUAGAUAGAAUUUUCCCCAGCCUAAUAGUAUGUCCAGUAUUUUACUUUCUUGGUGACUUGCAAUAGCUCCAAUGUACAAGGGGUAUAUACCACACUGCCAGAAAAAGCCAUUUAGCAGGAACCUUUAUCUGCUUUCUGAGUCAUGAUGAUUCCAGUGGACAGUGUCUACCAAAUGAACUUAAUAACAUUUAUAAUUACCUCAUUACUGAGUAAGGUCACCUUGUCACGUAUCGACUGCCAAAAUUACCAACAACAUGUAUAUAACCUUAGUCUUGCUCUCCAAGGAUGAGAAGUGGAUCCACCUUCCUGCUAAGUACUGAAUGCCCCUCAAGUUCACUCCAAGGAAGGUGCAAAUAUUUUGAAGGUUGAAGAUGCCACCAUUUAUGGUUUAAAUAGCAAGUACAAUUUAAUUUGCCAUCAUAGCCUGCCUUUUCAUCUAUUUGCAUGUUUCUAGAGUUCUUGACACAAUCCUGUGUUCAUUUAAGUAAUAGAAACAGCUUAAGUUGAAAAGAAAACCUACACAUUUUCAAAUGACACAAAUUUUCUUUUUCUUGCAAAUUCACUAACUCAAGACAGUUUCCCUACCCUCACUAAUCUUACAAUACAGAGAAGUAUUUUCAGCAUUCAACAUGUUAGUCUCUGUAAUGGAGGCCUUCACAAUACUGCUGUAUGUCAUCUCCUUAUCAAUUUUGAAAUUCAUAGUUUUGCGUAUUUUCUUCUUUCCUGCCUUUUAUUUGUUUUAGUCAUCUGCACUUUCACACUGCUUAGUCACUGCACUGUAAAGUUAACAAAAACAAGGACGUGACUUUCUGAUGGACAAUAUAUCAUUGGGCUGUACAGGGAUGUGGAGAACACUCAGCACUAAGCGUAAUUUUAAAUUACUUCAAAUGUGUUAAAAAGAAAAUACUGUUAUUCAAUUAUUUCGAACAAACAAAAAUCUUAAAACCUGAUUUCUUUUUUUCUUUCUAUUUCUAUGAGAAAUUUCAGACACUAUUAUUUAUCCUUGCAUACAUUUGCUGAAUGCUCAAUAACAAUGAAGUAUUGUAAAAAUGAAACAUGUGGUACUUAUCUUCUUUUUUUGUUGGUUGAAGUUAUCUAUGAUGACACCAAUGAAUAAGUUUAGGGUGAAAAAUGAUCCAAA
This is a non-coding RNA of Taeniopygia guttata (zebra finch), 1905 nucleotides long. Lineage: Eukaryota; Metazoa; Chordata; Aves; Passeriformes; Estrildidae. The record is from RefSeq and is a predicted model, not a curated record.